CUCGAUCUGAUUCCCCACAUGGUUUAGGGGUAAUUGAUUUUGUUUUUGACGUUUAAAGGUUUUAAAAAUCAUUGAAUUUUGUAUUAAAUGGGAAUUUCGACAUCAUUUCAGGAGAAGUUUAAAACAACAGGACUAUGGAAGGAUAUACGGUGCUACAUUGACAGUCAACUCUACGGUUUGUAGGUUGAAGUUUGCUUAACACGCUUCAACCGUCGAACUUGGUGCGGCUCAAUUGAAUAAGGAAAGCAGGGAGGUCAUGGACCUUAAAGACUUGUGCAGACUAAAACUGUGAUUGAGAUAUCUGCAGCAGUAGCUAGCAGCAGCUGAAGGGAAUGUUGAUCGAAAGAUGUGAACAGAGGCAAGGUGGCAAGGUUUUAGUAAUAGUUGUUAUAUGGUACAUUUACAUAACAUGAACUUUUACUUCCAGUUGAUUUCGACAUAACUAUAGUCUGUACAGUGUACAUAUUUCAGUAUUAAAAUCACAAGUUUACACAUUCUUAGAGUGGUUUAAUCCAUGUCUUUGACCGGUAUAAUUAUCGUUUGAAGCAAAGUUGGGUAAUCGGAGAUGAUACCAUAAAUGAAACUGCAUCUCCAUAAGCUAAUGAGGUGAUGUUAUUGGAUCUUGGUUCAUUGGCCGCCUUGGUUUUAAAAUGCGCGCAUAAUGCGUGAUGCGUCCGAUGCGCUGAUGAGAGCGCAUCACUACAACUGAUGCGUUGUGUUUACGUGAUGCGAGUAUAUUGCGCGCAUUUCGCAUGAUGCGCUCAUCGCAUAAUGCGCUCUGAUGCACGCAACAUUGUUUCUUAUGUUUUUGGCCCACAAGCACUGAUUUGGUGAAGGUUGUUAAUCAAGUGAGCAGCAACGCACGACAGAUGGGGAUUU
This 879-nucleotide long non-coding RNA is filed under the name Helianthus annuus (common sunflower). The record is from RNAcentral. Lineage: Eukaryota; Viridiplantae; Streptophyta; Magnoliopsida; Asterales; Asteraceae.